This 562-nucleotide ribosomal RNA is filed under the name Penicillium cf. chrysogenum JL7KGC02-50-55-M1. Its description in RNAcentral is "eukaryotic LSU rRNA". The stretch from base 182 to 334 matches the Rfam family "5.8S ribosomal RNA". The record is from RNAcentral. Lineage: Eukaryota; Fungi; Ascomycota; Eurotiomycetes; Eurotiales; Aspergillaceae.
CAUUACCGAGUGAGGGCCCUCUGGGUCCAACCUCCCACCCGUGUUUAUUUUACCUUGUUGCUUCGGCGGGCCCGCCUUAACUGGCCGCCGGGGGGCUUACGCCCCCGGGCCCGCGCCCGCCGAAGACACCCUCGAACUCUGUCUGAAGAUUGUAGUCUGAGUGAAAAUAUAAAUUAUUUAAAACUUUCAACAACGGAUCUCUUGGUUCCGGCAUCGAUGAAGAACGCAGCGAAAUGCGAUACGUAAUGUGAAUUGCAAAUUCAGUGAAUCAUCGAGUCUUUGAACGCACAUUGCGCCCCCUGGUAUUCCGGGGGGCAUGCCUGUCCGAGCGUCAUUUCUGCCCUCAAGCACGGCUUGUGUGUUGGGCCCCGUCCUCCGAUCCCGGGGGACGGGCCCGAAAGGCAGCGGCGGCACCGCGUCCGGUCCUCGAGCGUAUGGGGCUUUGUCACCCGCUCUGUAGGCCCGGCCGGCGCUUGCCGAUCAACCCAAAUUUUUAUCCAGGUUGACCUCGGAUCAGGUAGGGAUACCCGCUGAACUUAAGCAUAUCAAUAAGGCGGAGGAA